Heterocephalus glaber (naked mole-rat) is the source of this 130-nucleotide small nuclear RNA. Its record names the gene U2. It matches the Rfam family "U2 spliceosomal RNA". Rfam says of the family: U2 is a small nuclear RNA (snRNA) component of the spliceosome (involved in pre-mRNA splicing). Complementary binding between U2 snRNA (in an area lying towards the 5' end but 3' to hairpin I) and the branchpoint sequence (BPS) of the intron results the bulging out of an unpaired adenosine, on the BPS, which initiates a nucleophilic attack at the intronic 5' splice site, thus starting the first of two transesterification reactions that mediate splicing. The record is from Ensembl. NCBI's taxonomy places the organism in Eukaryota, Metazoa, Chordata, Mammalia, Rodentia, Bathyergidae.
AUCGCUUCUCGGCCUUUUGGCUAAGAUCAAGUGUAAAAAUAAGUUGCUAUGCAGCAUUCAGAAAUCAUAUUGUUUUUAACCAUACCUGAAAUUAUUACUUUUCAAAAACCAAAAGUUUAGUAAAAAAUUC